UCAUGGAAAUUUUGAGGGAAUAGAUAAUAGGAAUUUUUCACACUUGGGACUUAACUUAAAAUAAAUCUAUAUUAUAAGAAAUAUUUUUUUUAUAAGGGAAAUAACAAUGAAAAGAAAGAUACAUACUUGAAAAAAAGAAAAAGGAGGAUAGAAAGAACACGGUUUUCCCCCCCAUACUUAAAUGAAACAUUGUCCCCAAUGUUUCAAAGAAAACAAAAGAUAAAUAAAAAAAGGAAAAAGAAACUAAAGUUAAUGCUGCCUGCCGCCUCUUGUUCUUGGACCUGGUGAUCGUUGAUGUACUUCUAAGUUGUCAAAUCUGCUGGACAACUCAGUGAACCGCUGGUCGGUGAUGGCAUU
Molecule: long non-coding RNA, 357 nt
Filed under: Lathyrus oleraceus (garden pea)
Lineage: Eukaryota; Viridiplantae; Streptophyta; Magnoliopsida; Fabales; Fabaceae
Description: Pisum sativum (pea) long non-coding RNA (PSAT_LNC004443)
Source: RNAcentral